RNAcentral lists this ribosomal RNA (64 nucleotides) under Samia ricini (Indian eri silkmoth). RNAcentral's name for it is "partial 18S ribosomal RNA". The record is from RNAcentral. Lineage: Eukaryota; Metazoa; Arthropoda; Insecta; Lepidoptera; Saturniidae.
UUAAGCUAGGAAGGCUUAUUUAUAAUAAUCCUUAGCUCCCUGGUUGAUCCUGCCAGUAGUUAUA